UAAUAAGUGUUUUAUGGCACUUUUUAAAUCCAUAUCCACCUUGUGUGCAAUGUCAGUCGAUCUUCUUCAUGGAGAUCGACCAAACAUCAACCUUUAUCUUUUAACUCUUUGUCUGAAAAAUAUUAUGGAAUAAACAGUUCAAAAUA
RNAcentral lists this unclassified non-coding RNA (146 nucleotides) under soil metagenome. RNAcentral's name for it is "partial internal transcribed spacer 1". The record is from RNAcentral.